RNAcentral lists this ribosomal RNA (486 nucleotides) under uncultured soil bacterium. RNAcentral describes it as "bacterial SSU rRNA". It matches the Rfam family "Bacterial small subunit ribosomal RNA", at positions 26 to 525 of the family's 1533-position model. The record is from RNAcentral.
AGAUUGAACGCUGGCGGCAGGCCUAACACAUGCAAGUCGAACGGCAGCACGGGAGCAAUCCUGGUGGCGAGUGGCGAACGGGUGAGUAAUACAUCGGAACGUGCCCAAUCGUGGGGGAUAACGCAGCGAAAGCUGUGCUAAUACCGCAUAAGAUCUACGGAUGAAAGCAGGGGAUCGCAAGACCUUGCGCGAAUGGAGCGGCCGAUGGCAGAUUAGGUAGUUGGUGAGGUAAAGGCUCACCAAGCCUUCGAUCUGUAGCUGGUCUGAGAGGACGACCAGCCACACUGGGACUGAGACACGGCCCAGACUCCUACGGGAGGCAGCAGUGGGGAAUUUUUGGACAAUGGGCGCAAGCCUGAUCCAGCCAUACCGCGUGGUGAAGAAGCUCGGUGUAAGCCUUUGUUGGAAGAAAGCAAUACGUUAAUACCGUUGUCUGACGUACCAAAGAAUAAGCACCGACUAACUUCGUGCCAGCGACGCGUAACG